UACGUAGGGGGCAAGCGUUAUCCGGAAUUACUGGGUGUAAAGGGAGCGUAGGCGGCAUGGUAAGCCAGAUGUGAAAGCCCGGGGCUUAACCCCGAGGAUUGCAUUUGGAACUAUCAAGCUAGAGUACAGGAGAGGAAAGCGGAAUUCCUAGUGUAGCGGUGAAAUGCGUAGAUAUUAGGAAGAACACCAGUGGCGAAGGCGGCUUUCUGGACUGAAACUGACGCUGAGGCUCGAAAGCGUGGGGAGCGAACAGG
RNAcentral lists this ribosomal RNA (254 nucleotides) under uncultured bacterium. RNAcentral describes it as "partial 16S ribosomal RNA". It matches the Rfam family "Bacterial small subunit ribosomal RNA", at positions 524 to 776 of the family's 1533-position model. The record is from RNAcentral.